UACAGAGGGUGCGAGCGUUAAUCGGAAUUACUGGGCGUAAAGCGCGCGUAGGCGGCUUUGCAAGUCGGGUGUGAAAUCCCCAGGCUUAACCUGGGAACUGCAUUCGAGACUGCAUUGCUAGAGUAUGGGAGAGGGGGAUGGAAUUCCGCGUGUAGCAGUGAAAUGCGUAGAUAUGCGGAGGAACACCGAUGGCGAAGGCAAUCCCCUGGGCCUGCACUGACGCUCAUGCACGAAAGCGUGGGGAGCAAACAGG
RNAcentral lists this ribosomal RNA (253 nucleotides) under uncultured bacterium. Its description in RNAcentral is "partial 16S ribosomal RNA". It matches the Rfam family "Bacterial small subunit ribosomal RNA", at positions 524 to 776 of the family's 1533-position model. The record is from RNAcentral.